This 493-nucleotide ribosomal RNA is filed under the name uncultured bacterium. RNAcentral describes it as "bacterial SSU rRNA". It matches the Rfam family "Bacterial small subunit ribosomal RNA", at positions 29 to 524 of the family's 1533-position model. The record is from RNAcentral.
AACAAACGCUGGCGGCGUGCCUAAUACAUGCAAGUCGAACGGGGAAAGCCUUCGGGUGAGUACUAGUGGCGCACGGGUGAGUAACACGUGGGUAAUCUGCUUUAGAGUGGGGGAUAACCAGUCGAAAGAUUGGCUAAUACCGCAUAAGACCACAGGAUCUGCGGAUCUAGGGGUCAAAGGUUUUUCGCUCUAAAAUGAGCCCGCGCGGGAUUAGCUAGUUGGUGAGGUAACGGCUCACCAAGGCUACGAUCUCUAGCUGGUCUGAGAGGAUGAUCAGCCACACUGGGAACUGCGACACGGGCCAGACUCCUACGGGAGGCAGCAGUAAGGAAUAUUGCGCAAUGGACGAAAGUCUGACGCAGCGACGCCGCGUGGGGGAUGAAGGUCUUCGGAUUGUAAACCCCUUUCGGGAGGGAAGAUGGAGUGGGGUAACCACUUGGACGGUACCUCCAGAAGCAGCCACGGCUAACUUCGUGCCAGCAGCCGCGGUAAU